RNAcentral lists this ribosomal RNA (483 nucleotides) under uncultured bacterium. RNAcentral's name for it is "bacterial SSU rRNA". It matches the Rfam family "Bacterial small subunit ribosomal RNA", at positions 30 to 507 of the family's 1533-position model. The record is from RNAcentral.
UUGAACGCUGGCGGCAUGCCUUACACAUGCAAGUCGAACGGCAGCACGGGAGCAAUCCUGGUGGCGAGUGGCGAACGGGUGAGUAAUAUAUCGGAACGUGCCCAGUCGUGGGGGAUAACGUAGCGAAAGCUACGCUAAUACCGCAUACGAUCUACGGAUGAAAGCGGGGGAUCGCAAGACCUCGCGCGAUUGGAGCGGCCGAUAUCAGAUUAGGUAGUUGGUGAGGUAAAGGCUCACCAAGCCGACGAUCUGUAGCUGGUCUGAGAGGACGACCAGCCACACUGGGACUGAGACACGGCCCCAGACUCCUACGGGAGGCAGCAGUGGGGAAUUUUGGACAAUGGGCGCAAGCCUGAUCCAGCAAUGCCGCGUGCAGGAUGAAGGCCUUCGGGUUGUAAACUGCUUUUGUACGGAACGAAACGGUGAGCUCUAAUACAGUUUGCAAUGACGGUACCGUAAGAAUAAGCACCGGCUAACUACGUG